This 84-nucleotide transfer RNA is filed under the name Bacteroidota bacterium. RNAcentral describes it as "tRNA-Leu". It matches the Rfam family "tRNA". Rfam says of the family: Transfer RNA (tRNA) molecules are approximately 80 nucleotides in length. RNAcentral also lists the same sequence under 8 other names. The record is from RNAcentral. Lineage: Bacteria; Pseudomonadati; Bacteroidota.
GCGGAAGUGGCGGAAUUGGCAGACGCACCAUCUUGAGGGGGUGGCGCCCGGUAGGGCGUGCGGGUUCAAGUCCCGCCUUCCGCA